This 443-nucleotide ribosomal RNA is filed under the name uncultured bacterium. RNAcentral describes it as "partial 16S ribosomal RNA". It matches the Rfam family "Bacterial small subunit ribosomal RNA", at positions 338 to 795 of the family's 1533-position model. The record is from RNAcentral.
CCUACGGGCGGCAGCAGUGGGGAAUAUUGGGCAAUGGGCGCAAGCCUGACCCAGCAACGCCGCGUGAAGGAAGAAGGCUUUCGGGUUGUAAACUUCUUUUAUGGAGGACGAAACAAAGGACGGUACUCAAUGAUUAAGCCACGGCUAACUACGUGCCAGCAGCCGCGGUAAUACGUAGGUGGCAAGCGUUAUCCGGAUUUACUGGGUGUAAAGGGCGUGUAGGCGGGAAUGCAAGUCAGAUGUGAAAACCAUGGGCUCAACCCAUGGACUGCAUUUGAAACUGUAGUUCUUGAGUGCUGGAGAGGCAGGCGGAAUUCCGUGUGUAGCGGUGAAAUGCGUAGAUAUAAGGAGGAACACCAGUGGCGAAGGCGGACUGCUGGACAUUAACUGACGGUGAGGCGCGAAAGCGUGGGGAGCAAACAGGAUUAGAUACCCGUGUAGUC